This 241-nucleotide long non-coding RNA is filed under the name Nicotiana benthamiana. RNAcentral's name for it is "long non-coding RNA (NBEN_LNC010360)". Lineage: Eukaryota; Viridiplantae; Streptophyta; Magnoliopsida; Solanales; Solanaceae. The record is from RNAcentral.
AUGACAUGUCCUUGUCCAAUCGGAUAGUGCUGAAAUCUAACACGUGGGCGGGAUUGCUCUGAUACUUCCGAAGCAUGGAUAUAUGAAAAACCGGAUGCACGACUGACAAGCUAGGCGGCAAGGCAAGCCUAUAAGCCACCUUCCCCAUACGGUCAAGAAUCUCAAAUAGGCCAAUAAACCUAGGGCUAAGCUUGCUCUUCUUCCCGAAUCUCAUCACGCCAUCAUAGGCGAUACACGGAGC